RNAcentral lists this RNase P RNA (378 nucleotides) under Candidatus Doudnabacteria bacterium RIFCSPHIGHO2_01_FULL_50_67. RNAcentral describes it as "RNase P RNA component class A". It matches the Rfam family "Bacterial RNase P class A". Rfam says of the family: Ribonuclease P (RNase P) is a ubiquitous endoribonuclease, found in archaea, bacteria and eukarya as well as chloroplasts and mitochondria. RNAcentral also lists the same sequence under 5 other names. The record is from RNAcentral. Lineage: Bacteria; Candidatus Doudnaibacteriota.
UAAAGUUAGUGCGCAAUCAAGCCUAAAGUUUACUUUAGGUUAGGAAAGUCCGAACACGUUGGUUGAAUGAAAUCCUCGCGAGUUCAUGCAGCCUCACGUAGCGGGUAAUCCCCGCCAUGAGUGAUCAAGGGAUGCGAACAGGAACGCUUGCGGCCGAGAGGCCGUAAGCAUCCGGCCAAGUGGCCGGAUGACGCCUGGCGGCAACGCCGGGAGUGAAACGGCUAAAUUCCUACGUGACAGUGCAAUGUCAAAUAGGUCCCGAUUUAUCGGGACGGGUUGACAGCUUGAGCCAAACAGCAAUGUUUGGCCCAGAGAGAUGAUUGCUUCCCCCGAUUUAUCGGGGUCAGACAGAAUUCGGCUUAUAGCUAUCUUGGAGAA